RNAcentral lists this ribosomal RNA (269 nucleotides) under uncultured anaerobic ammonium-oxidizing bacterium. RNAcentral's name for it is "partial 16S ribosomal RNA". It matches the Rfam family "Bacterial small subunit ribosomal RNA", at positions 565 to 832 of the family's 1533-position model. The record is from RNAcentral.
GAGCACGUAGGUGGGUUUGUAAGUCAGACGUGAAAGCCUUCUGUUCAACGGAAGAAUUGCAUCUGAAACUACAAACCCUGAGUGUAGGAGGGGAGAAUGGAACUUUUGGUGGAGCGGUGAAAUGCGUAGAUAUCAGAAGGAACGCCGGCGGCGAAAGCGAUUCUCUGGCCUAUUACUGACACUCAGUGUGCGAGAGCUAGGGGAGCAAACGGGAUUAGAUACCCCGGUAGUCCUAGCCGUAAACGAUGGGCACUAAGUAGAGGGGUUUU